GUGACUGCGUACCUUUUGUAUAAUGGGUCAGCGACUUAUAUUCUGUAGCAAGGUUAACCGAAUAGGGGAGCCGGAGGGAAACCGAGUCUUAAUUGGGCGUUAAGUUGCAGGGUAUAGACCCGAAACCCGGUGAUCUAGCCAUGGGCAGGUUGAAGGUUGGGUAACACUAACUGGAGGACCGAACCGACUAAUGUUGAAAAAUUAGCGGAUGACCUGUGGCUGGGGGUGAAAGGCCAAUCAAACCGGGAGAUAGCUGGUUCUCCCCGAAAGCUAUUUAGGUAGCGCCUCGUGAAUUCAUCUCCGGGGGUAGAGCACUGUUUCGGCUAGGGGGCCAUCCCGGCUUACCAACCCGAUGCAAACUGCGAAUACCGGAGAAUGUUAUCACGGGAGACACACGGCGGGUGCUAACGUCCGUCGUGAAGAGGGAAACAACCCAGACCGCCAGCUAAGGUCCCAAAGUCAUGGUUAAGUGGGAAACGAUGUGGGAAGGCCCAGACAGCCAGGAUGUUGGCUUAGAAGCAGCCAUCAUUUAAAGAAAGCGUA
RNAcentral lists this ribosomal RNA (543 nucleotides) under Salmonella enterica subsp. enterica serovar Kentucky. RNAcentral's name for it is "bacterial LSU rRNA". It matches the Rfam family "Bacterial large subunit ribosomal RNA", at positions 593 to 1136 of the family's 2925-position model. Lineage: Bacteria; Pseudomonadati; Pseudomonadota; Gammaproteobacteria; Enterobacterales; Enterobacteriaceae. The record is from RNAcentral.